CCUACGGGAGGCAGCAGUGAGGAAUAUUGGUCAAUGGGCGGGAGCCUGAACCAGCCAAGCCGCGUGAGGGAAGAAGGUACAGCGUAUCGUAAACCUCUUUUGUCAGGGAACAAAGGCGGGGACUAGUCCCCGGAUGAGGGUACAUGAAGAAAAAGCAUCGGCUAACUCCGUGCCAGCAGCCGCGGUAAUACGGAGGAUGCGAGCGUUAUCGGGAUUUAUGGGGUUAAAAGGGUGCGCAGGCGGCGUGUUAAGUCAGCGGUAAAAGCCCGGGGCUCAACCCCGGCGAGCCGUUGAAGCUGGGGGGCUGGAGUUGGAGAGAAGUACGCGGAAUGCGCGGUGUAGCGGUGAAAUGCUUAGAGAUCGCGCAGAACCCCGAUUGCGAAGGCAGCGUACCGGCUCCACACUGACGCUGAGGCACGAAAGCGUGGGUAUCGAACAGGAUUAGAUACCCUUGUAGUC
This 459-nucleotide ribosomal RNA is filed under the name uncultured bacterium. RNAcentral describes it as "partial 16S ribosomal RNA". It matches the Rfam family "Bacterial small subunit ribosomal RNA", at positions 338 to 795 of the family's 1533-position model. The record is from RNAcentral.